This 643-nucleotide ribosomal RNA is filed under the name uncultured bacterium. RNAcentral describes it as "bacterial SSU rRNA". It matches the Rfam family "Bacterial small subunit ribosomal RNA", at positions 202 to 842 of the family's 1533-position model. The record is from RNAcentral.
CAAAGGAGUGAUCCGGCAGAGGAUGGACAUGCGGCGCAUUAGCUAGUCGGCGGGGUAACGGCCCACCGAGGCUACGAUGCGUAGGGGUUCUGAGAGGAAGGUCCCCCACACUGGUACUGAGACACGGACCAGACUCCUACGGGAGGCAGCAGUGAGGAAUAUUGGUCAAUGGGCGGAAGCCUGAACCAGCCAAGUCGCGUGAGGGAAGACGGUCCUAUGGAUUGUAAACCUCUUUUGCAGGGGAGCAAGGCGCGGUACGUGUACCGCGAAGGAGAGUACCCUGAGAAAAAGCAUCGGCUAACUCCGUGCCAGCAGCCGCGGUAAUACGGAGGAUGCGAGCGUUAUCCGGAUUUAUUGGGUUUAAAGGGUGCGCAGGCGGACUGUUAAGUCAGCGGUAAAAUGUCGGUGCUCAACACCGGCCGGCCGUUGAAACUGGCAGCCUUGAGUGAGCGAGAAGUAUGCGGAAUGCGUGGUGUAGCGGUGAAAUGCAUAGAUAUCACGCAGAACUCCGAUUGCGAAGGCAGCAUACCGGCGCUCAACUGACGCUCAGGCACGAAAGCGUGGGUAUCGAACAGGCUCAGAUACCCUGGUAGUCCACGCAGUAAACGAUGAAUGCUCACUGUCCGGGCCGUUUAAGGCCUGG